AGAAGUUAAGAAACUGUUUCUUAAUUUUUAACUAAAAAAGUUAAGAACCGGUUCUUAAAGUUCUUAUUUAAGAACCGGUUCUUAGCUUUUUUUAGUUAAAAGUUAAGAAACAGUUUCUUAACUUCU
Brassica napus (rape) is the source of this 126-nucleotide non-coding RNA. The record is from Rfam. Lineage: Eukaryota; Viridiplantae; Streptophyta; Magnoliopsida; Brassicales; Brassicaceae.